This 593-nucleotide long non-coding RNA is filed under the name Gallus gallus (chicken). Its description in RNAcentral is "long non-coding RNA NONGGAT007234". Lineage: Eukaryota; Metazoa; Chordata; Aves; Galliformes; Phasianidae. The record is from RNAcentral.
GUUACUUUAGCCUCUGGAUAAAAAUAGAGAGAGCCUUAUAAAAGAGAAGAUAAAUCCUUUCCAUAGUGGAUUGUAGGUCAUUGAUAUCGCCUGGCUCCAAAAGCAAGCUGCAAUCUCCAGCUGAAGAAAACUUAUGCAUUGAGAAAAUCCAAUUCCCCUUGGUCUGCUGUGAAGGCUUCAAUACCGGGUUCAUCCAGAAAUAUGCAUCUUGUAGAAUACUGAAAGAUGUCUCUGAGCUAAGUUACUGAUAUGCCACAGCAAUUCAUCUACUUGAAGAAAUAUGGAUUUGUCAGCAAAGGUUUCCUCUGUGCUGGGAGUGGGUCAGAGCCAGCAGGCACUGAGGCACUGAGGCAACAUGCAGCCGGGAUGCAGUGCUCCAGAAGUCAGUGGCAGCUAUGUCAGAGCCAGCAGAAUGAUGUUUGUUGCACACAGAUAUAAACUUUUGCUCUCCUAUUUGCUAACAGGAGGAAUGUGCUUAGCUGAAGAGGUCAGUAGUCUUGAUGUCAGUGAUACCUUGUGGUUAUAAGCUCUGUAGGAAAGCUUUAUUAGAGCUGCCCUUCCCCGUUUAUGAUGAUUGAAUUAAAAGAGACUGC